CCUACGGGAGGCAGCAGUGGGGAAUCUUGCGCAAUGGGCGAAAGCCUGACGCAGCCAUGCCGCGUGAAUGAUGAAGGUCUUAGGAUUGUAAAAUUCUUUCACCGGGGACGAUAAUGACGGUACCCGGAGAAGAAGCCCCGGCUAACUUCGUGCCAGCAGCCGCGGUAAUACGAAGGGGGCUAGCGUUGCUCGGAAUUACUGGGCGUAAAGGGAGCGUAGGCGGAUAGUUUAGUCAGAGGUGAAAGCCCAGGGCUCAACCUUGGAAUUGCCUUUGAUACUGGCUAUCUUGAGUGUGGGAGAGGUAUGUGGAACUCCGAGUGUAGAGGUGAAAUUCGUAGAUAUUCGGAAGAACACCAGUGGCGAAGGCGACAUACUGGCCCAUUACUGACGCUGAGGCUCGAAAGCGUGGGGAGCAAACAGGAUUAGAUACCCUGGUAGUCCACGCUGUAAACGAUGAGUGCUAGUUGUCGGCAUGCAUGCAUGUCGGUGACGCAGCUAACGACAUUAAGUACACCUCCCGCCCGUCGGGGUAGGGUACGGGUCGGCGAAGAAUUAAAACCUUAACCGAAAGGAAAGUUAGUACGGCGUGAGACGUGCCCGAACGGACGACCGACCGAGGGGAGGUUAGGG
This 630-nucleotide ribosomal RNA is filed under the name uncultured bacterium. Its description in RNAcentral is "bacterial SSU rRNA". The stretch from base 1 to 518 matches the Rfam family "Bacterial small subunit ribosomal RNA", at positions 338 to 873 of the family's 1533-position model. The record is from RNAcentral.